Molecule: small nucleolar RNA, 137 nt
Organism: Betta splendens (Siamese fighting fish)
Lineage: Eukaryota; Metazoa; Chordata; Actinopteri; Anabantiformes; Osphronemidae
Product: small nucleolar RNA SNORA5
Source: Ensembl
UGCAGUUUUGUCAAAUUCAGUGCUUCCUCCUUAGUGGAUGCCACUGGCCAAAAUGGCUGCUACACUAAAGAUGCAGCAAAUAUGCCCUACACGUCUCUACCAUGGUGACUGGGGAUGAAUAUGUCCUGCUUACAAAC